GAUAACUUCUCGAAUCGCACGGCUUGCGCCGGCGAUGGUUCAUUCAAAUUUCUGCCCUAUCAACUUUCGACGGCUGGGUCUUGGCCAGCCAUGGUGACAACGGGUAACGGAGGGUUAGGGCUCGACCCCGGAGAAGGAGCCUGAGAAACGGCUACUACAUCCAAGGAAGGCAGCAGGCGCGCAAAUUACCCAAUCCCGACUCGGGGAGGUAGUGACAAUAAAUACUGAUACAGGGCUCUUUUGGGUCUUGUAAUUGGAAUGAGUACAAUUUAAAUCCCUUAACGAGGAACAAUUGGAGGGCAAGUCUGGUGCCAGCAGCCGGGUAAUUCCAGCUCCAAUAGCGUAUAUUACAGUUGUUGCAGUUAAAAAAGCUCGUAAGUUGAACCUUGGGCCUGGCUGGCCGGUCCGCCUCACCGCGUUGGCACUGGUCCGGCCGGGUCUUUCCUCCUGGGGAGCUGCAUGCCCUUCACUGGGGUGUGUCAGGGAACCAGGACUUUACUUUGAAAAAAAUUAGAGUGUCCAAGCAGGCCUAUGCUCGAAUACAUUAGCAUGGAAUAAUAGAAUAGGACGGUGUGGUCUAUAAGAGGGUUCUAGGACCGCGUAAUGAUUAUAGGGAUAGGUCGGGGGGCAUCAAGUAUU
RNAcentral lists this ribosomal RNA (639 nucleotides) under uncultured fungus. Its description in RNAcentral is "SSU rRNA". It matches the Rfam family "Eukaryotic small subunit ribosomal RNA", at positions 255 to 898 of the family's 1831-position model. The record is from RNAcentral. Lineage: Eukaryota; Fungi.